Molecule: transfer RNA, 84 nt
Filed under: Actinomycetota bacterium
Lineage: Bacteria; Bacillati; Actinomycetota
Description: tRNA-Ser
Rfam family: tRNA
About the family: Transfer RNA (tRNA) molecules are approximately 80 nucleotides in length.
Source: RNAcentral
GGAGGACGGCCGCACGGUGACGGCCCCGGCUUGCUAAGCCGGUAAGGGCUACGGCCCGACAGGGUUCGACUCCCUGGUCCUCCG